Molecule: ribosomal RNA, 426 nt
Filed under: uncultured bacterium
Lineage: Bacteria
Description: partial 16S ribosomal RNA
Rfam family: Bacterial small subunit ribosomal RNA
Source: RNAcentral
GUGAGGAAUUUUCCGCAAUGGGCGAAAGCCUGACGGAGCAAUGCCGCGUGAAGGAUGAAGGCCUAUGGGUUGUAAACUUCUUUUCUCAGAAAAGAAUUAUGACGGUAUAUGAGGAAUAAGCAUCGGCUAACUCUGUGCCAGCAGCCGCGGUAAGACAGAGGAUGCAAGCGUUAUCAGGAAUGAUUGGGCGUAAAGCGUCUGUAGGUUGUUUAAAAAGUAUUCUGUCAAAGAUUAGGGCUUAACCCUAGAUAGGCAGAAUAAACUUUUAAGCUAGAGUUUGGUAGAGGCAGAGGGAAUGCCCGGUGGAGCGGUGAAAUGCGUAGAUAUCGGGAGGAACACCAAAGGCGAAGGCUCUCUGCUGGGCCAAUACUAACACUGAGAGACGAAAGCGAGGGGAGCAAAUGGGAUUAGAUACCCUAGUAGUCC